This 285-nucleotide unclassified non-coding RNA is filed under the name Hevea brasiliensis (rubber tree). The record is from RNAcentral. Lineage: Eukaryota; Viridiplantae; Streptophyta; Magnoliopsida; Malpighiales; Euphorbiaceae.
UUAGCUCAAAGUCCAUACGGCGGCAGUCCGUUAGCAUCUGAUAUCUUGCGGGAAGGACAGCUUGGCGACUAUGUGAACGUACGGAAGCUUAUGGAGAUUUUGAUUUGUAAAGUGAUCAAGGGAGACAUGCAAGCUCUCGAAGAUUUAACGUAUGAGAGGAGGAAGAAAUUUUUAAUGCAGCACCACAUGCCAGCAGAGCUCCCUGUGGUAUCAUUCCACACCGAAGCCAGCAUUUCACCUGCUGUUUUGGCCACCUUGUCUCGUGUUGCUCAUGCAGAACUGCCG